This 253-nucleotide ribosomal RNA is filed under the name uncultured bacterium. RNAcentral describes it as "partial 16S ribosomal RNA". It matches the Rfam family "Bacterial small subunit ribosomal RNA", at positions 524 to 776 of the family's 1533-position model. The record is from RNAcentral.
UACGAGAGGCCCAAACGUUAUUCGGAUUUACUGGGCUUAAAGAGUUCGUAGGCGGUCUAGCAAGUGAGGUGUGAAAGCCCUCGGCUCAACCGAGGAAUUGCGCUUCAAACUGCUAGGCUCGAGGGAGAUAGAGGUGAGCGGAACUGAUGGUGGAGCGGUGAAAUGCGUUGAUAUCAUCAGGAACACCAGAGGCGAAGGCGGCUCACUGGGUCUUUUCUGACGCUGAGGAACGAAAGCUAGGGGAGCAAACAGG